Molecule: ribosomal RNA, 253 nt
Filed under: uncultured bacterium
Lineage: Bacteria
Description: partial 16S ribosomal RNA
Rfam family: Bacterial small subunit ribosomal RNA
Source: RNAcentral
UACAGAGGGGGCAAGCGUUGUUCGGAAUUACUGGGCGUAAAGGGCGCGUAGGUGGCCUUCUAAGUUGAACGUGAAAUCCCUGGGCUCAACCCAGGAACUGCGUCCAAGACUGGGAGGCUUGAAUCCGGGAGGGGGAUGCGGAAUUCCAGGUGUAGCGGUGAAAUGCGUAGAUAUCUGGAGGAACACCGGUGGCGAAGGCGGCAUCCUGGACCGGUAUUGACGCUGAGACGCGAAAGCGUGGGGAGCAAACAGG